This is a long non-coding RNA of Sebastes umbrosus (honeycomb rockfish), 157 nucleotides long. RefSeq lists it as uncharacterized. NCBI's taxonomy places the organism in Eukaryota, Metazoa, Chordata, Actinopteri, Perciformes, Sebastidae. The transcript is spliced from 3 exons. The record is from RefSeq and is a predicted model, not a curated record.
CGUGGGCACCCAUAGAACCCAUUUUCAUUCACAUAUCUGGAGGUCAGAGGUCAAGGGACCCCUUUGAAAAUGGCCAUGAGUUUUUCCUCGCCAAAAUUUAUUGAGUAAUAAGAUUGGAGCGUUAUCUAACCUCCUUUUUGACAAGCUAGCUCUGACA